This 67-nucleotide transfer RNA is filed under the name Callistomys pictus (painted tree-rat). RNAcentral describes it as "tRNA-Arg". The record is from RNAcentral. Lineage: Eukaryota; Metazoa; Chordata; Mammalia; Rodentia; Echimyidae.
UAGUAGUUAGUUUAAAUAAAACAAAUGAUUUCGACUCAUUAAUUUAUGCUAACCCCAUAACUGCUAA